RNAcentral lists this ribosomal RNA (253 nucleotides) under uncultured bacterium. RNAcentral's name for it is "partial 16S ribosomal RNA". It matches the Rfam family "Bacterial small subunit ribosomal RNA", at positions 524 to 776 of the family's 1533-position model. The record is from RNAcentral.
UACAGAGGGUGCGAGCGUUGUCCGGAAUCACUGGGCGUAAAGGGCGCGUAGGCGGCUUGAUAAGGUUGCGGUGAAAGCCCGGGGCUCAACCCCGGGUCGGCCGUGGCAACUGUCGAGCUGGAGCACUGUAGAGGCAGGUGGAAUUCCGGGUGUAGCGGUGGAAUGCGUAGAGAUCCGGAAGAACACCGGUGGCGAAGGCGGCCUGCUGGGCAGUGGCUGACGCUGAGGAGCGAAAGCGUGGGGAGCGAACAGG